CUGAUCCAGCAAUACCAGGCGUGUGUGAAGAAGGCCUGAGGGUUGUAAAGCACUUUCAAUAGGAAGGAAUACCUACCGGUUAAUACCCGGUAGACUGACAUUACCUAUACAAGAAGCACCGGCUAACUCCGUG
Molecule: ribosomal RNA, 133 nt
Filed under: uncultured Gammaproteobacteria bacterium
Lineage: Bacteria; Pseudomonadati; Pseudomonadota; Gammaproteobacteria
Description: partial 16S ribosomal RNA
Rfam family: Bacterial small subunit ribosomal RNA
Source: RNAcentral